This 417-nucleotide ribosomal RNA is filed under the name uncultured bacterium. RNAcentral describes it as "bacterial SSU rRNA". It matches the Rfam family "Bacterial small subunit ribosomal RNA", at positions 355 to 787 of the family's 1533-position model. The record is from RNAcentral.
UGGGGAAUAUUGGGCAAUGGGCGCAAGCCUGACCCAGCAACGCCGCGUGAAGGAAGAAGGCCCUCGGGUUGUAAACUUCUUUUAUUCGGGACGAAGAAGUGACGGUACCGAAUGAAUAAGCCACGGCUAACUACGUGCCAGCAGCCGCGGUAAUACGUAGGUGGCAAGCGUUAUCCGGAUUUACUGGGUGUAAAGGGCGUGUAGGCGGGACUGCAAGUCAGAUGUGAAAACCAUGGGCUCAACCCAUGGCCUGCAUUUGAAACUGUAGUUCUUGAGUGAUGGAGAGGCAGGCGGAAUUCCGUGUGUAGCGGUGAAAUGCGUAGAUAUACGGAGGAACACCAGUGGCGAAGGCGGCCUGCUGGACAUUAACUGACGCUGAGGCGCGAAAGCGUGGGGAGCAAACAGGAUUAGAUACCC